AGUCGUAACAAGGUUUCCGUAGGUGAACCUGCGGAAGGAUCAUUAAAGAGUAAGGGUGCUCAGCGCCCGACCUCCAACCCUUUGUUGUUAAAACUACCUUGUUGCUUUGGCGGGACCGCUCGGUCUCGAGCCGCUAGGGAUUCGUCCCAGGCGAGCGCCCGCCAGAGUUAAACCAAACUCUUGUUAUUUAACCGGUCGUCUGAGUUAAAAUUUUGAAUAAAUCAAAACUUUCAACAACGGAUCUCUUGGUUCUCGCAUCGAUGAAGAACGCAGCGAAAUGCGAUAAGUAAUGUGAAUUGCAGAAUUCAGUGAAUCAUCGAAUCUUUGAACGCACAUUGCGCCCCUUGGUAUUCCGAGGGGCAUGCCUGUUCGAGCGUCAUUACACCACUCAAGCUAUGCUUGGUAUUGGGUGCCGUCCUUAGUUGGGCGCGCCUUAAAGACCUCGGCGAGGCCUCACCGGCUUUAGGCGUAGUAGAAUUUAUUCGAACGUCUGUCAAAGGAGAGGACUUCUGCCGACUGAAACCUUUAUUUUUCUAGGUUGACCUCGGAUCAGGUAGGGAUACCCGCUGAACUUAAGCAUAUCUAAAAGUCG
This 592-nucleotide ribosomal RNA is filed under the name uncultured fungus. Its description in RNAcentral is "eukaryotic LSU rRNA". The stretch from base 226 to 379 matches the Rfam family "5.8S ribosomal RNA". Lineage: Eukaryota; Fungi. The record is from RNAcentral.